This 362-nucleotide long non-coding RNA is filed under the name Arabidopsis thaliana (thale cress). RNAcentral describes it as "long non-coding RNA (ATHA_LNC000253)". The record is from RNAcentral. Lineage: Eukaryota; Viridiplantae; Streptophyta; Magnoliopsida; Brassicales; Brassicaceae.
UAAGUUUGUUAAAAGUUGGUGAUUAUCACUCUACUAAUGGCUUUGAUUGGUUAUGUUGUAUCACCGUAGUACAAAAUGUUACCAUCUUAUGUGUAAACCAUUAAGUGCAGUCUGACGUCAUCUGUAGAUGGUGUUAUAAAAGGUGAUACCACGAAUCUUACUACUAUCUAACAUUGAAAUGUAUUGCCAUCUCUUACCACUAUUUAUCCGACUUACACCCUUUUUUUGUUUGAAGAAAUCAGUAGUUAAUAGCUACACUAUCUUUUUUGCUUGGAGCCAACAUUUUAUCAGAAUCGGCUCUCCGGUGACACACUAAUACUGAAACGUUAACAACAAGAACCGAACAGAGUGGUGAAAAAAUA